AAACUUUGCUCAUGCCAAAAAUUAUUCUCAUACUCAGUUAUCAGGGAUACCUUGGCCGAGGGCUAUCCCAAACUGAGUUCGCCAAGGUUAUUAAAAAGUUAUAUACUCAUAAAUCAUGUUUUUAUUUAAAAAAUAUAGUCGUUCUUUGGCGUUGGCUGAGUUCGCCCUCACGUAGUGGUUUGGUGUGAAGUGAACUCUAAAAGUUAUACCUCGGGAGUUACCCUACUCGCCUCUCCAACCGAGGUAAAAUAUGUUAGGAUUUCGUGCCCCUCUAAUAGGCUAGUCC
Molecule: long non-coding RNA, 286 nt
Filed under: Theobroma cacao (cacao)
Lineage: Eukaryota; Viridiplantae; Streptophyta; Magnoliopsida; Malvales; Malvaceae
Description: long non-coding RNA (TCAC_LNC002997)
Source: RNAcentral